RNAcentral lists this RNase P RNA (302 nucleotides) under Sphingobacteriales bacterium. RNAcentral describes it as "partial RNase P RNA component class A". It matches the Rfam family "Bacterial RNase P class A", at positions 1 to 293 of the family's 367-position model. Rfam says of the family: Ribonuclease P (RNase P) is a ubiquitous endoribonuclease, found in archaea, bacteria and eukarya as well as chloroplasts and mitochondria. Its best characterised activity is the generation of mature 5'-ends of tRNAs by cleaving the 5'-leader elements of precursor-tRNAs. Lineage: Bacteria; Pseudomonadati; Bacteroidota; Sphingobacteriia; Sphingobacteriales. The record is from RNAcentral.
AAUGCAGGUUGUUCUAUCGCUGUUUCGAUUUAUCGGAAGAGAGGAAAGUCCGGGCAACGCAGGGCAUCUCGCUUUCUAACGGAAAGGAAUUCAGGAAUGAAAACCUGAAUUACGGAUCAGUGCAACAGAAAAUAUACCGCCCCGAGCAAUCGAGGUAAGGGUGAAAACGUGCGGUAAGAGCGUACGAGCAUUGCAGGCGACUGCAGUGGUUUGUAAACCCCGAGAGUUGAAAGACCAAAUAGGCUAACGCAUGUAGGGCUGCCCGUCCGAUGUUAGUGGGUAGGUCGUUAGAGAUAAACGGC